This 840-nucleotide long non-coding RNA is filed under the name Sus scrofa (pig). RNAcentral describes it as "lncRNA (ENSSSCG00065005910.1)". The record is from RNAcentral. Lineage: Eukaryota; Metazoa; Chordata; Mammalia; Artiodactyla; Suidae.
UUCAAACUCAUCACCACUCCAAAUUACUAAAAUAAAACAAACAGCUCAAGGAUCCCGUGAUAAUGGCAGUGGGUCACCCUUGCGCCAAAAGAUGAGGUGGUUGAGGGUGGGCAGUCCAUUUUAAGUCACUGCCGUUAAUAUACCCCACAGGUUUUGAAAUGAUUCUUCUUAAGAGCAUAGAAGGAGUUUAUUUUUCAUGCCUGUUCUUGAAAUAUGCUACAGAUGCUAUGGAAAACAAGGACAAGAAGUGGGAGGCAAGAGUUCUUAGAUGAGAUUUAUGAUAUUACUUGCCAAAGAGUUUUGGUCUUUGCUUUCUUAUAUUUCAAAAUUGUGUCCCACAGGUCUUAAUAACAACAGCUUGGAGUUAAUUGAGUGGCUGAUGAGAAAAACAUACGGUCCUCCCUGGCACCAGGGCCUCUGCUUGGCUCCCGUCCAACAUUCACUCCCAAAGGCCAAGGAGCUGUGGGACCAGAACCCCCCAUAUUUCUCUGGAAUUCCAAAUUGAAGGAAGAAAGAAAUUGAACUGAAUUUAAAAGAGGUCUCAGCCGUGGAAACGAAGCCUUCACAUGUCCCCUCAACCUUCAUGGAGUGAUGAGGAGGCCCUCGUUCUUGCUGUGACCUGCCAUUCCCAGGCAUCCUCCAGUCUACUUGCAGGGACCAAGGUGGAGGGCACACACGUGGGUAAGGUCAGGUGAGCCCAGUGGAGAAGCAUGAACCAGCUCAGUCUUAGACCCAGUUCCCCGAGUCUCCUGCCAGUGGUGAAUUUCAGCUGAUGUUAUUUAGGUUCUGCCGCCCCUGAGACAGCUCUCUCCUGUCUUUCACUUAAUUCUCACAAGUCCG